AGAGUUUGAUCCUGGCUCAGGAUGAACGCUAGCGGCAGGCUUAAUACAUGCAAGUCGUGGGGCAGCGCGGUAGCAAUACUGGCGGCGACCGGCAAACGGGUGCGGAACACGUACGCAACCUUCCUUUAAGCGGGGGAUAGCCCAGGGAAACUUGGAUUAAUACUCCCAUAACAUUAUGAAAUGGCAUCAUUUUAUAAUUA
RNAcentral lists this ribosomal RNA (200 nucleotides) under uncultured bacterium. Its description in RNAcentral is "partial 16S ribosomal RNA". It matches the Rfam family "Bacterial small subunit ribosomal RNA", at positions 8 to 203 of the family's 1533-position model. The record is from RNAcentral.